This 433-nucleotide ribosomal RNA is filed under the name uncultured bacterium. RNAcentral's name for it is "partial 16S ribosomal RNA". It matches the Rfam family "Bacterial small subunit ribosomal RNA", at positions 29 to 507 of the family's 1533-position model. The record is from RNAcentral.
AACGAACGCUGGCGGCAGGCCUAACACAUGCAAGUCGAGCGAGGACUUCGGUCCUAGCGGCGGACGGGUGAGUAACGCGUGGGAACGUGCCCUUUGCUUCGGAAUAGCCCUGGGAAACUGGGAGUAAUACCGGAUGAGCCCUUUGGGGGAAAGAUUUAUCGGCGAAUGAUCGGCCCGCGUUGGAUUAGGUAGUUGGUGGGGUAAUGGCCUACCAAGCCGACGAUCCAUAGCUGGUUUGAGAGGAUGAUCAGCCACACUGGGACUGAGACACGGCCCAGACUCCUACGGGAGGCAGCAGUGGGGAAUCUUAGACAAUGGGGGAAACCCUGAUCUAGCCAUGCCGCGUGAGCGAUGAAGGCCUUAGGGUUGUAAAGCUCUUUCAGCUGGGAAGAUAAUGACGGUACCAGCAGAAGAAGCCCCGGCUAACUCCGUG